GUGGGGAAUAUUGCACAAUGGGCGAAAGCCUGAUGCAGCAACGCCGCGUGAGUGACGAAGGCCUUCGGGUUGUAAAGCUCUGUCUUCUGGGACGAUAAUGACGGUACCAGAGGAGGAAGCCACGGCUAACUACGUGCCAGCAGCCGCGGUAAUACGUAGGUGGCAAGCGUUGUCCGGAUUUACUGGGCGUAAAGGAUGCGUAGGCGGAUAUUUAAGUCAGAUGUGAAAAUCCCGGGCUCAACUUGGGAACUGCAUUUGAAACUGGGUAUCUAGAGUGCAGGAGAGGAAAGCGGAAUUCCUAGUGUAGCGGUGAAAUGCGUAGAGAUUAGGAAGAACACCAGUGGCGAAGGCGGCUUUCUGGACUGUAACUGACGCUGAGGCAUGAAAGCGUGGGGAGCAAACAGGAUUAGAUACCCCAGUAGUCC
Molecule: ribosomal RNA, 425 nt
Filed under: uncultured bacterium
Lineage: Bacteria
Description: bacterial SSU rRNA
Rfam family: Bacterial small subunit ribosomal RNA
Source: RNAcentral